CACACACACAGACUGCUGAGUCCAUGCACACACACACACAGACUGCCGAGUCCAUACACACUCACAGACUGCUGAGUAAAUACACACACACACACACACAGACAGACUGCUGAGUCCAUACACAUGCACACAGACUGCUAAGUCCGUACACACACACACAGACUGCUGAGCAGUGGCGGAUCCAGAGCCUGAUCUCGGGAGGUGCACUUGUAGAUUAUUUAAAGAAAUAAUCCAGACACAAUAACCACUACAGCUCAGUGUAGUGGUUAUGGUGUCAAUAGUGCCG
Non-coding RNA from Pelobates cultripes (western spadefoot toad), 286 nucleotides. Lineage: Eukaryota; Metazoa; Chordata; Amphibia; Anura; Pelobatidae. The record is from the annotation of a GenBank genome assembly.